CCGCGAUGAAAUUUCAACCUGCCCAACACGAUUACUGGUCCACCUAGAAAUGCCGUGGAGCGAUUUAAGAGCCUCGGAAAUUUCCUUUAAGGUCAGGAGAGAAGCUGGUAACAGAUGGGGCGAAGGAGGAAAAGUUCUUUUUGCGGCACCCUCACGCCUUCCCAGCCCUUUCGCGGUUUACUCGCUCCCCGGAAAGCAGUCUCGGGUGAGAUCACCACGGAGCGGCUUAGCGCGGCGCACAAGUCUCGCGAGAGAAGCGGCGGCUGGGCCCUGCAGGCGGAGGAAGUGGAAAAAGUCGCGGGAGGGUAGGGGACCGCGGAACUUCUGGUUGCUAUGACGACGGCAAAGCCCUGGAUUCCUGUCUCCUGCGGAGAGCAGAGGCUGCAAACGGCAUUCAAGCAGCCCUGAGGAGAGGUCCACAUGGUGAGCCACUGAGGGCCUUGCCAAGAGCCAGCACCAACGGUCCAGGUUUGGAGUGUACCACCUUGGAAGUGAAUCUUCCAGUCCAGUCAAGCCUUCAGAUGACUUCAGAACCGUCCAUGUAAGCCACUCUUGGAUUCCUGACCCACAGAAACUGUUGGAGUAAGUGAUGUUUCUGAAGCACCAAUGAAAAUGAAGUCCUGAAGUCCUGUGCUCAAUAUGAAAUGUUGGAAGUUAGAAGAAAAAAACAAAACUUGGAUCCAAUCUCAAGGCACUUUUUGUUUAAUGGGAAGAAGUGGAUUAUUUUAAAAGCUACAAAUAAAGUUACAUAAAAGUAGCAAA
Molecule: long non-coding RNA, 762 nt
Filed under: Homo sapiens (human)
Lineage: Eukaryota; Metazoa; Chordata; Mammalia; Primates; Hominidae
Description: HSALNT0212868
Source: RNAcentral